Molecule: long non-coding RNA, 192 nt
Organism: Saccostrea cuccullata (small rock oyster)
Lineage: Eukaryota; Metazoa; Mollusca; Bivalvia; Ostreida; Ostreidae
Exons: 3
Source: RefSeq, a predicted model, not a curated record
AUUGCACUCAGAUAUCUCUUUAAAAAGGCCGAUAUACAGGUUGCUGCUGUUGAUCAUCAUUAUACUAGUAUACCUAUUACAGAGUACUGGGUGGAUGAAGCAAACAAGGUGACUGAAGAAGACAUAACAAAGAUUGAAAAAGAAACAAGACAACAAGCAUCAUGCAAACUAUGGUUUCAUCAUAGAUCCUGG